RNAcentral lists this ribosomal RNA (1117 nucleotides) under uncultured organism. RNAcentral's name for it is "bacterial SSU rRNA". It matches the Rfam family "Bacterial small subunit ribosomal RNA", at positions 314 to 1427 of the family's 1533-position model. The record is from RNAcentral.
UGGAACUGAGACACGGUCCAGACUCCUAACGGGAGGCAGCAGCUAAGAAUCUUCCGCAAUGGUUGAGAGACUGACGGAGCGACGCCGCGUGAAUGAUGAAGGCCUUUUAGGUUGUACAAUUCUUUUAUAAUAGAUGAAAGUAUAGAUAUAGUUUAUGCUGACCGUAUAUUAUGAAUAAGGUCCGGCUAACUACGUGCCAGCAGCCGCGGUAAAACGUAGGGACCUAGCGUUGUUCGGAAUUACUGGGCGUAAAGGGUAUGCAGGCUGUUAUAUACGUCAGAUGUGAAAGACCCGGGCUCAACCUUGGAAUUGCGUCUGAUACUGUUUAACUUGGGUAGCUGAGAGGAAGUCGGAAUUCCUGGUGUAGGGGUGAAAUCUAUAGAUAUCAGGAAGAACACCAGUAAGCGUAGGCGGACUUCUGGCAGCUUACCGACGCUGAGGUACGAAAGGUAGGGUAGCAAACAGGAUUAGAGACCCUGGUAGUCCUACCUGUAAACGUUGUAUACUAGGUGGUGGAAGUCUAAUAUCUUUCUCUGCCGGAGUUAACGCAUUAAGUAUACCGCCUGGGGAGUAUGCCGGCAACGGUGAAACUCAAAGGAAUUGACGGGGCCCCGCACAAGCAGUGGAGCAUGUUGAUUAAUUCGAUGAUACGCGAGGAACCUUACCAGGUCUUGACAUAUAUCUGACGCACAUAGAGAUAUGUGCUCUCUUCGGAGCAGAUAUACAGGUGCUGCAUGGUUGUCGUCAGCUCGUGCCGUGAGGUGUUGGGUUAAGUCCCGCGACGAGCGCAACCCCUAUUCUUUGUUGCUAACGGGUAAUGCUGAGCACUCGAAGGAAACUGCCGGUGACAAACCGGAGGAAGGUGGGGAUGAGGUCAAAUCAUCACGGCCCUUAUGACCUGGGCUUCAAACGUGCUACAAUGGGUGGUACAAAGAGUAGCCAACCUGUGAAGGGGAGCCAAUCUCAAAAAGCCACCCCAAGUUCGGAUUGGGGUCUGCAACUCGACUCCAUGAAGUUGGAAUUGCUAGUAAUCGCACAUCACCAUGGUGCGGUGAAUAUGUUCCACGGGGCUUGUACACACCGCCCGUCACAUCACCCGAGUUGAUAUACCCGAAGU